AUUGUUCCUGCCUGGAGAUAUAAAAAUUUCUCAACAAACACCAGCUUCCUAACUGUUGCAACAGCAAGGACGUCGAGUGUUAGACUUCCUGCAGUGUAUGUGUUAGCUUAGGCUGACACAGGAAGAAUUAAGACUGGGCUGAAGAACCAGCAUUUGCUCAAGGUCUCUGAUUGAACACAUUGGUACCUCCUGCACCCAGAAGCUCUGCACCCACUGCUUCUUCUUCCACACCCCAAGGAUGCUGAGGUCCUAUCAGCCUUGGCUUGUCUCCCAGUAUCGUCAUCUACGUUCGGCUGUGAGCAAAGCUGUCAUAGUGGUAAGCGUUGCCCUGAAGGUAUUUUGCCUCUCCUUUCUGUCUGUGGAAACAAGGUGUAAGAAGGGCUAACUCGAGGUAUUUUUGGGGUACUGCUGCUGUGGCUGCAGGAUGAAGUCUAACAUUCUCCUCCUGCACCACCAAGCAAUGCAAAUUCCAGCAUCAGAGUGAAGAGCAGGAUCAGGAAGGACUAAAACAGUGUCUUUCAGAAACUGCAGGAGUGGAAGAAAAGUUAGAGGGCUCCCACCUGUGAAGCUUUUACGUGGACAGUGGAGGCUGGCUGGUGUGAAACUUACCUACUUGAGGCAGAUGGAAAGGGGACAUGCUGCUCCCUACAAGUCCCAUGGUUGAGGAUGUAAAGUUUUGUGAGAUGGCUGUACCUCAGGGAGUUUCAAAAUGUGCACUAGAGAUGUGUGGUGCUGGGCCAGCCUCCACCUGAUCCAAAAUAACCUGUGAGAUUAUACAGGAGAUGUGGGGAAGCUCAGCACCAGCUGUUUACAGCUAUCAGUCUACUGUUGCUCCAAGCGAAUUGCUAAACACAGCCUACGCUGUUUUAUUCACUGCUCACAGAAAGAACAAAAACCAUAAUAGUUUGCAAUGCACCAUAAUUUUCCAGGAAAUAUAUUCCAUAGCACUCUGAAGGCACAAAUACUGUAUUUAAAUGAGAUUCAUAGCAGUAUAUUUUAUUGGCUUUGAGAGAUAGAUUCAGAAAAAGAGGAUUACCAAACUGAGACUAAUAGCUGCAUUCAACAUACUUAAAUUUACACUAGUUUACAUUUUAAAUAAGAACUCCAUCUGUAGGGGGAAAAUAUAGUGCCUAAACAGGCCUUAUUUUAUUAAAUAGUGCCACCUAGAGGUUAAGCACUUUUUAAUGUUAGAGGGGCAAGGGAUGGAAAGCUCUAUUAAUAGCAGAAAAUGUAUUACAUAAAAUGAUCUGUAUUUGGGAAUUUACUAGGAAAACAAAGUGCUGCAGAGAUUUCUAUACGGUUGUAUCUGGGCAAUGAACUGUAGCUUUUACAGUUCCCUUUGGAGCUGGCUAUACUUUUCCCUUCCUUCCUAGCCUAGCGGUGGUGGGGGAUGUUGUAAAUCCUGAUUUUUCUCUUCUAUGGGUCAGGUCUUGCUUGUACGUGAGCAGCAGAGAGGUUAUCUGCUGCUGCAGGGCUGGGUAGGAGAUUGCUGUCUUGCUGGUUUUGAGUAUGCAAGAACUUAAAGUCUUGAAAAGUUACUUGUUUAGUGAGGCCAGAAUCAGAGAGGAAAUCCUGGCCUAGUUCAUCUCAUGUACUAAAGGAAGGUACUGCAUGGGAGAGGAGUGAGAUGUUGGGACUACACUCUGGCCCUAAGCAGACAUGAUUUAUUCCUCUGAAACUGCCUUUUUCCCCUCGUGCAUUACAAAUUACAGUUUGGUCCUUUUUGCUUGUUUUGACAUAACCUAGAAAUAAGCAGAAGAAACCUAGACUAAUCUGCCCAUCUCUGUACCAUGCUUGUUUUUUUUUUUUCAAACUGAGAUUUCAGCUAAAAGCCUGAACUGGGACUAUUUCUUUCCUGCAUAAGUAAAUAUAAAUACAUACAUACAUACA
This is a long non-coding RNA of Oxyura jamaicensis (ruddy duck), 1890 nucleotides long. RefSeq lists it as uncharacterized. The record is from RefSeq and is a predicted model, not a curated record. The transcript is spliced from 2 exons. NCBI's taxonomy places the organism in Eukaryota, Metazoa, Chordata, Aves, Anseriformes, Anatidae.